Molecule: long non-coding RNA, 109 nt
Organism: Etheostoma cragini (Arkansas darter)
Lineage: Eukaryota; Metazoa; Chordata; Actinopteri; Perciformes; Percidae
Exons: 3
Source: RefSeq, a predicted model, not a curated record
UAAUUGCUUCCGCCUGCUCCUUCUCUAUCUAAUCCUUUUAUAUGCAUUUUUAAUUAUUCAGUUUUUUGUUGUUAAAUUCUGAUUGUUUGAGUUUUCUGUUUUUCAUUUU